GAUGAACGCUGGCGGCGUGCCUAAUACAUGCAAGUCGAGCGAACGGACGAGAAGCUUGCUUCUCUGAUGUUAGCGGCGGACGGGUGAGUAACACGUGGAUAACCUACCUAUAAGACUGGGAGAACUUCGGGAAACCGGAGCUAAUACCGGAUGAUAUUUUGAACCGCAUGGUUCAAAAGUGAAAGACGGUCUUGCUGUCACUUAUAGAUGGACCCGCGCUGCAUUAGCUAGUUGGUAAGGUAACGGCUUACCAAGGCAACGAUGCAUAGCCGACCUGAGAGGAUGAUCGGCCAAACUGGAACUGAGACACGGUCCAGACUCCUACGGGAGGCAGCAGUAGGGAAUAUUCCGCAAUGGGCGAAAGCCUGACGGAGCAACGCCGCGUGAGUGAUGAAGGUCUUCGGAUCGUAAAGCUCUGUUAUUAGGGAAGAACAUAUGUGUAAGUAACUGUGCACAUCUUGACGGUACCCAAUCAGAAAGCCACGGCUAACUACGU
This 496-nucleotide ribosomal RNA is filed under the name uncultured bacterium. RNAcentral describes it as "partial 16S ribosomal RNA". It matches the Rfam family "Bacterial small subunit ribosomal RNA", at positions 28 to 506 of the family's 1533-position model. The record is from RNAcentral.